UGGGGAAUAUUGGACAAUGGGCGCAAGCCUGAUCCAGCCAUGCCGCGUGGGUGAUGAAGGCCUUAGGGUUGUAAAGCCCUUUCGGCGGGGAAGAUAAUGACGGUACCCGCAGAAGAAGCCCCGGCUAACUUCGUGCCAGCAGCCGCGGUAAUACGAAGGGGGCUAGCGUUGCUCGGAAUCACUGGGCGUAAAGGGUGCGUAGGCGGGUCUUUAAGUCAGGGGUGAAAUCCUGGAGCUCAACUCCAGAACUGCCUUUGAUACUGAGGAUCUUGAGUUCGGGAGAGGUGAGUGGAACUGCGAGUGUAGAGGUGAAAUUCGUAGAUAUUCGCAAGAACACCAGUGGCGAAGGCGGCUCACUGGCUCGGUACUGACGCUGAGGUACGAAAGCGUGGGGAGCAAACA
Molecule: ribosomal RNA, 402 nt
Filed under: uncultured bacterium
Lineage: Bacteria
Description: bacterial SSU rRNA
Rfam family: Bacterial small subunit ribosomal RNA
Source: RNAcentral